AACCAGCUAACGAGUCUCAAAUAGGACGAAACGCGUAUCCUGGGU
Schistosoma haematobium is the source of this 45-nucleotide non-coding RNA. NCBI's taxonomy places the organism in Eukaryota, Metazoa, Platyhelminthes, Trematoda, Strigeidida, Schistosomatidae. The record is from Rfam.